GACGAACGCUGGCGGCGUGCUUAACACAUGCAAGUCGAACGGUGAUGCUCCAGCUUGCUGGAGUGGAUCAGUGGCGAACGGGUGAGUAACACGUGAGCAACCUGCCCCAGACUCUGGAAUAAGCGCUGGAAACGGCGGCUAAUACUGGAUACGAAACUGGCCCGCAUGGUCAUGGUUUGGAAAGUUUUUCGGUUUGGGAUGGGCUCGCGGCCUAUCAGCUUGUUGGUGAGGUAAUGGCUCACCAAGGCGACGACGGGUAGCCGGCCUGAGAGGGCGACCGGCCACACUGGGACUGAGACACGGCCCAGACUCCUACGGGAGGCAGCAGUGGGGAAUAUUGCACAAUGGGCGAAAGCCUGAUGCAGCGACGCCGCGUGAGGGAUGACGGCCUUCGGGUUGUAAACCUCUUUCAGCAGGGAAGAAGCGAAAGUGACGGUACCUGCAGAAGAAGCACCGGCUAACUACGUG
This 468-nucleotide ribosomal RNA is filed under the name uncultured bacterium. Its description in RNAcentral is "partial 16S ribosomal RNA". It matches the Rfam family "Bacterial small subunit ribosomal RNA", at positions 28 to 507 of the family's 1533-position model. The record is from RNAcentral.